GAACAACAAAAAUCUACGACAAUGUUUAUGCCUCAACUACAAAAUAAAAACUCUAUUCUUUUUGCUACCUAGGAAUCACCAGUACCAUGAAAGCUGAAACACAAUCAGAAAACAGCAAGAUUCACCAUAGAAAUCAUCCAAGGCUGCAACAGAUACACAUAAACAGCUCUUUCAAAACAGAUGAUCCGAUUGUUUAUCACCAAGACAUGAAAGCAUGAAGGGAGAGUAACAUCAGCCCAUUACAUAGCACUGGGCAUACUUGUUAGGAAAAUAUCUUCAUGGUAGCUGGAUGCAGGAGAGCUUUUGGGGGAAUCAUCACAAGUUUUCUCUGUUUCAUCCUCAGCAAAAAUUUCUUCAGAGUGGCAAUCAAAACUGCAAAAUGCUUUCUCACCUCUGUAGAUAUAAAUGUCAUCACCCUUCUCCAACUUUUUUUUGCAGGAGUAACAGAAGCUCAAGAACUCAUCAGAUGGGUGAGAAGUUGG
This 482-nucleotide unclassified non-coding RNA is filed under the name Hevea brasiliensis (rubber tree). Lineage: Eukaryota; Viridiplantae; Streptophyta; Magnoliopsida; Malpighiales; Euphorbiaceae. The record is from RNAcentral.